RNA transcript from Hordeum vulgare subsp. vulgare (domesticated barley), 2111 nucleotides. RefSeq lists it as uncharacterized. The transcript is spliced from 10 exons. Lineage: Eukaryota; Viridiplantae; Streptophyta; Magnoliopsida; Poales; Poaceae. The record is from RefSeq and is a predicted model, not a curated record.
AUGGGGCAGAUUGCUAAAUGGGCGAUAGAACUUGGUCCCCAUCAUGUGAAAUAUGCACCGCGUGCUGCCAUCAAGUCUCAGGCAGUUGGAAGGUUCAGGCGCUGGAGUGGUGUUGACAUCUCCAAGUUGGAAGGUUCAGGCGCUGGAGUGGAGUAUGAAGCUUUUCUCCAUGGGCUCAGGAUAGCUAAGGAGAUGAAUUUGAGUCGAGUCAGGUGUUUGGGCGACUCAGAUUUAGUGGCUCAGCAGGUGUCAGAAGACAUAGCAAUUCCUGACCCGGAGUCGCAAUUGGUGGUCGCCCUCACAGCAAUUCCUGAUUGGACGAUACCUUACAUGGCUUAUCUGGCUCGAGGCGAGUUGCCAUCCAAUGAAGUUUUCACCAGGCAGAUCGUGCGGCGAUGCAAAUCCAUGGUUAUACACAAAGUUUGGGGGCUUGACAUGGUUGGUCCUUCUAAAAGAUCUUCGGACAAGAAGAUACAUCUGAUGGUUGUGGUUGAUAAAUUUACAAAGUGGGUUGAAGCGGAACCAGUCAGUAACUAUGAAGCAGAAAUGGCGGUCAAAUUCCUCAAGAAGCUGAUCUUUCGUUUUGGUUACCCUCAUAGCAUCAUCACCGACAAUGCAUUAGUAGUUUUGCAAAAAAACAUCUCUCCGCCCCUCCUCUGGCUUCCCCUUUCCUCCAUCUCCCACCCCUUGCUCCCUCCCCGCAGCCUCCUCGCGCAGCCGCAGCUAGGGUUCCUCGCGCCACGCCGCCGGCCAGCAGAAGCAGGAGAUACCGCCGCCCGCCAUGGCGACGCCGCAGGCACCCUCCCCUCCCACGCUGCCCCCGUGGUCUUCCCCACGACCCUACCCAUCCCGCCGCCGCCGCGCAGCGUGGUGCCGUCCUCCUCCCCCGCCUCCCCUUGGCUGGCCGGCGAGGUCCCGGGCUCCAAUUCGCGAAAAGGUACGAGCUUUCUGCCCUCCGGCGGCCGCCCCAAUCCCCGGCCAGUCCCCCCGUAUUUCCGGCCGCACCGCCCAGAUCCGCCCCCGCCAGAUCCCCCUGUGUUUGGAUAGGAAAAAUGUCGCGGACAAGCAGGUGAGGUGGACGGAUAUCGGUGAGAAGAAACAGGAGCUCGUCCCCAACAUUGCAAAGGACCAUGCCAAGCAGGUGAGGAUGGCAGAGAACAACAGUCGGAUACAGAAGCUGGUACCCAACGUAAAAAAGGAUCGCUCAUCACAUAGAAGAAGCAUCGCUGAGCUGUGGAGGAGGACGGAGAUCAGCAAGCGGGUGCAGAAUCUGCAAGAGCUCAUCCCCAACAUGGAGAAGGUAAUUAAACAAACUGUUGGAACGCCAAAGCCAUACACUAACAUGGCUCUGCCAGGAAUUAAUCCACUGCAAACCAACACGUGUGACAUGUUGGAUCUGGCUGUUGAUUACAUCAAGGAACUCCAGAUGCAGAUCAAGCUGACCAUGGACCUCGUCAUGGCGCUUUCGCUUGUUGAUUCACUGAAGGUGAUGAAGGAAGAAGAGGCGAUUUGCAUACUCCCCUUCUAAAGUGUUAGUUGCAGUGUGAGACUAGAAAUAUUAGACUGACUGAUUCCAUAUUGGAGUUAUGUUUCUAUUGAUCAAGGGUCCAUAUUAAAGUUAGAUUUCUUCAUUUAUGUUAUGUCCCACCUCACAAAAGCCUUUGGAAUGAGCUAUAUAAUCAUUGUAUAAGUAACCUAUUUAUAAUUACACGUGCCCCUUUACCACUAUGUUUGUUACUCAUCCAGUCUCCUUUAAGAUGUUCUUCCAACAAAUAUGAUCUAUACAAUGGUAUACAAUGUUCAAAAACUUAUAAGAAAGUGUCAUGUGAGAAUUUUGAUAAUACAUAGAAUAGGUCAUACUACCAUGGACAUUUAUAACUUGGUAUAAUUCAGUGCUUCUUUAAAUAGGUAUAAUUAAUUAUUUAUAUAUUGUUCUUUGCGUAGAUUUCUGUUCCAUUAUUUGGUCUGUUCUACUUUCGUUUGAUAAUAUGUUAUGAUUUUCUGUCGUGCAUCCCACGGAUUUUAGGUUCAUCAGUUAACUUGAUUCUUCUCUCUGCCUAUUGAUAUUGUGUUAAAUGAGAAUCUAUUUUUGUCGUUCCAAUCGGUACUAC